GCAAACUUGGUCAUUUAGAGGAAGUAAAAGUCGUAACAAGGUUUCCGUAGGUGAACCUGCGGAAGGAUCAUUACCGAGUGCGGGCUCUCGCAGCCCAACCUCCCACCCGUGUUUACCGUGACCCUGUUGCUUCGGCGGGCCCACUGGGCCUCUGCCUGGUCGCCGGGGGGCGUCUCGUCCCCGGGUCCGCGCCCGCCGGAGAAUCUCUGAACCCUGUCUGAAGUAAGUGUCUGAGUGAAGAUUUUAAAUCAUUAAAACUUUCAACAACGGAUCUCUUGGUUCCGGCAUCGAUGAAGAACGCAGC
Molecule: unclassified non-coding RNA, 304 nt
Filed under: uncultured fungus
Lineage: Eukaryota; Fungi
Description: partial contains small subunit ribosomal RNA, internal transcribed spacer 1, and 5.8S ribosomal RNA
Rfam family: Eukaryotic small subunit ribosomal RNA (bases 1-73)
Source: RNAcentral